Molecule: transfer RNA, 73 nt
Filed under: Geomys bursarius (Plains pocket gopher)
Lineage: Eukaryota; Metazoa; Chordata; Mammalia; Rodentia; Geomyidae
Also listed under: 1 other name
Description: tRNA-Asn
Rfam family: tRNA
About the family: Transfer RNA (tRNA) molecules are approximately 80 nucleotides in length. Their secondary structure includes four short double-helical elements and three loops (D, anti-codon, and T loops).
Source: RNAcentral
UAGAUUGAAGCCAGUUGAAUAAGGCGAUUAGCUGUUAACUAAGAGUUUAUAGGUUUAAGUCCUGUCAAUCUAG